AUGGUGCAGACGGGCAGCUUACGUUUUUGGAGAGGCAGGUCUCGGUCCUCUCCACGCGCGGCCCCAUUUCGAUGGGGACGAGCUCGUAGCCUGCAAUGCGAUCAAUGGUCGCAUUUUUUGUUAGAGGGCGAGAAGAUUAUUACCAAGUUUGAUGGUAUUCGUUUACGAAACACAAAUGAUGAUGGCAUUCUCCUAGUGACGAAUUUCCAGUUUCUUUUCGUGAGUAAAGAAACAAAAAGCAAGUUGGGUACCAUCCCUCUUACUACAGUUGAGCAAAUAAAGUCAAAGACAUUUGAUACCGGAAUGGUGUGGAGACUGGAGACAGCGCCAUGCAUGGUGCUAUGUCACGAUAUGAGAGUGCUGGUGUUUGAUUUGAAAUCUGAACAAAAGCAAGAGAUAGUGGAAUAUUUGACAAGAUGUGCCAAACCUUCAUGUUUGGUUGAUCUUUUUGCAUUUGCACUUAAUUCCACUCCACCCGCGGUUGCUAAUCGAACCAGUCCCAAUAUGCGGCUUUUGAAAGAAUAUCAACGCCUUUUUUGUAAAUGGUUGCCUCCGGGCACCGGUUUCGAAAUUCAAAAGAGUUUAGAGGAUAAAUGGUGGAGGGUAACUGAAGUCAAUUCCGAUUAUUCCUUAUGUUCAACCUAUCCAUCUCACCUGAUAGUCCCACGCACCAUAAGUGAUGAAGAGCUAGAAGAAAUGUCUACCAGCCGAGCUCUUAGUCGCUUGCCUGUUAUUUCCUGGUGUGAUUUUGUAUGUGGAGCUGUCCUGGCAAGGUCUUCUCAGCCCAUGGGAAUCAAGAAUCUUAAGAAGUAUGAGGAUGAAAAACUUGUAUCUGCCCUUCGCACUCCAGGAAUUCACCGCACAGGCCCUAUAAGGAAAUUAUACAUAGUUGAUGCUCGGCCAGCGGUCAGCACUGUAGGAAAUGGUGGUGGCUCAGAGUCAGCUUGUUCCUAUCCAGAAUCUGAGGUUGUCUACCUAGGAAUUGAAGACAUAUAUGAAAUGAGAGUUAGUUUUUCAUCUCUCCGAAAGUAUGUUGAUUCUCAUGGAUCAAUUUCAUCAAAUGGACUACCUUUAGCUGGAUCUGUCACUGCAGACCUGGUAAAUCAUGGAUCAGCCUGGGUUGGCGGAACUAUAAAUAGCAUGACAAAAUUUUCUAUUCGGGGGGAAUGGCUAAAUCAUAUUCAAAUUAUCCUAAUUGGUGGUUCCUGGAUUGCUGAAAAAAUUGCCCAUGAAUCAGCUUCAGUUCUAGUGCAUUGCAGUGAUGGCUGGGACAGAACAACACAGUUAGUUGGACUUGCUUCCCUCCUGCUUGAUCCGUAUUAUCGAACGUUCACUGGAUUUCAGGCGCUUGUGGAAAAAGAUUGGCUAGCUUUUGGCCAUCAAUUUGCGGAGAGGAUGGGUCUUCCAACAAUAGCUAAAGGAUGCCGGCCUGCAAAUCCUUCGGUUAAAUCUCAGGCAUCAGAUAAUAAAACUUCACCAGUACUGUUGCAGUGGCUAGAAUGUAUUGCUCAGUUGUUGCGCAUGUACCCAUCUGCAUUUGAGUUCUCAACUGUAUUCCUGGUUGACUUUAUUGAUGCUGUGUUAUCGUGCCGUUUUGGGAACUUCCUAUGCAAUAGUGACUGGGAAAGGGAGCAAGCUGAAGUCGCGAGCUCUUGUCCUUGCAUUUGGGAGUACUUGGCUGACCUCCGGGCUUCCGGCGGCAUCUUUCAUGAGCACAGAAAUCCCUUUUAUAAACCAAGCAAGUGGAAUGGGCCGAUUGUCCCGCCAGCUCCAACGCUUGCACCCACCCUUUGGCCUGAAUUCUAUUUGAGAUGGGCUUGUCCACUUGAAUCGCAAGGCAGUGAUCGAGAAUGCAAAUAUGUGGAAGCAGUGAAGACCAGUCCAGCUACAGGUUCAGAAACAAAGUAUCAGUACCAUGACCACCAAAGUGAAACAGCAGCAACGAAGCCACUAGGAUGCUUUUGUCUACAAAAGGCAUCACAUAUGUUGCAUCUUUUCCUAGAAUCCCAUGAAGGGCUUUGCCGUAUCAUCGGGAAACAACAGAAAGAACUUUUCUCUCAAAAUUUAGCAAUCACUGAUCUAUUUUAA
RNAcentral lists this ribosomal RNA (2088 nucleotides) under Triticum aestivum (bread wheat). RNAcentral describes it as "partial small subunit ribosomal RNA". Lineage: Eukaryota; Viridiplantae; Streptophyta; Magnoliopsida; Poales; Poaceae. The record is from RNAcentral.